GGGGCUGUUCUCUGUGCCCACCAC
This 24-nucleotide non-coding RNA is filed under the name Rattus norvegicus (Norway rat). The record is from RNAcentral. Lineage: Eukaryota; Metazoa; Chordata; Mammalia; Rodentia; Muridae.